Molecule: non-coding RNA, 78 nt
Organism: Camelus dromedarius (Arabian camel)
Lineage: Eukaryota; Metazoa; Chordata; Mammalia; Artiodactyla; Camelidae
Source: the annotation of a RefSeq genome assembly
GGCGGGGAGGGUAUAGCUCAGUGGGAGAGUGUGUGCUUAACGUGCACAAGGUCCUGGGUUCAAUCCCCAGUACUGCCA